Molecule: ribosomal RNA, 486 nt
Filed under: Enterobacteriaceae bacterium HPC789
Lineage: Bacteria; Pseudomonadati; Pseudomonadota; Gammaproteobacteria; Enterobacterales; Enterobacteriaceae
Description: bacterial SSU rRNA
Rfam family: Bacterial small subunit ribosomal RNA
Source: RNAcentral
CAUGGCGCUGGUGGCGGCCUAACACAUGCAAGUCGAGCGGUAGCACAGAGAGCUUGCUCUCGGGUGACGAGCGGCGGACGGGUGAGUAAUGUCUGGGAAACUGCCUGAUGGAGGGGGAUAACUACUGGAAACGGUAGCUAAUACCGCAUAANGUCCCAAGACCAAAGAGGGGGACCUUCGGGCCUCUUGCCAUCAGAUGUGCCCAGAUGGGAUUAGCUAGUAGGUGGGGUAACGGCUCACCUAGGCGACGAUCCCUAGCUGGUCUGAGAGGAUGACCAGCCACACUGGAACUGAGACACGGUCCAGACUCCUACGGGAGGCAGCAGUGGGGAAUAUUGCACAAUGGGCGCAAGCCUGAUGCAGCCAUGCCGCGUGUAUGAAGAAGGCCUUCGGGUUGUAAAGUACUUUCACCGGGGAAGAAGGUGCUGAGGUUAAUAACCUCACCAAUUGACGUUACCCGCAGAAGAAGCACCGGCUAACUCCGUG